CCCAAUUCGGUGUGCAAUUAACAUCAGAGGAGAUGUAUAGGCAGGCACUUGGAUGAAUAGCAAGAUCAGAUAUUUUUGGAAUUUUUAAUUUACAUUUUAAUGUGUUUGGUGAUGAUUAUCACCUUAACAUAUGGUAUGGAUGAAACAUUGUGAUGUAUGGUUAAUAGGUAUGCUUGACUUUAGACUUAUAGAUGAUGAUAUUUAUAAUGAAUGAU
RNAcentral lists this long non-coding RNA (215 nucleotides) under Phoenix dactylifera (date palm). RNAcentral describes it as "long non-coding RNA (PDAC_LNC009202)". Lineage: Eukaryota; Viridiplantae; Streptophyta; Magnoliopsida; Arecales; Arecaceae. The record is from RNAcentral.